UGCAGUCGAACGAGAUCUUCGGGUCUAGUGGCGCACGGGUGCGUAACGCGUGGGAAUCUGCCCUUUGGUUCGGAAUAACAGUUGGAAACGACUGCUAAUACCGGAUGAUGACGAAAGUCCAAAGAUUUAUCGCCAGAGGAUGAGCCCGCGUAGGAUUAGCUAGUUGGUGUGGUAAAGGCGCACCAAGGCGACGAUCCUUAGCUGGUCUGAGAGGAUGAUCAGCCACACUGGGACUGAGACACGGCCCAGACUCCUACGGGAGGCAGCAGUGGGGAAUAUUGGACAAUGGGCGAAAGCCUGAUCCAGCAAUGCCGCGUGAGUGAUGAAGGCCUUAGGGUUGUAAAGCUCUUUUACCCGGGAUGAUAAUGACAGUACCGGGAGAAUAAGCUCCGGCUAACUCCGUGCCAGCAGCCGCGGUAAUACGGAGGGAGCUAGCGUUGUUCGGAAUUACUGGGCGUAAAGCGCACGUAGGCGGCUUUGUAAGUUAGAGGUGAAAGCCUGGAGCUCAACUCCAGAACUGCCUUUAAGACUGCAUCGCUUGAAUCCAGGAGAGGUGAGUGGAAUUCCGAGUGUAGAGGUGAAAUUCNUNNNUAUUCGNAAGAACACCAGUGGCGAAGGNNNCUCACUGGACUGGUAUUGACGCUGNG
Molecule: ribosomal RNA, 647 nt
Filed under: Sphingomonas sp.
Lineage: Bacteria; Pseudomonadati; Pseudomonadota; Alphaproteobacteria; Sphingomonadales; Sphingomonadaceae
Description: bacterial SSU rRNA
Rfam family: Bacterial small subunit ribosomal RNA
Source: RNAcentral